Molecule: long non-coding RNA, 3992 nt
Organism: Oncorhynchus tshawytscha (Chinook salmon)
Lineage: Eukaryota; Metazoa; Chordata; Actinopteri; Salmoniformes; Salmonidae
Source: Ensembl
GCUUCAACUUCCUGACUGAUGUCUUGAGAUGUUGCUUCAAUAUAUCCACGUAAUUUUCCUUUCUCAUGAAGCCAUCUAUUCUGUGAAGUGCACCAGUCCCUCCUGCAGCAAAUCACCCCCACAACAUGCUACCACCUCCAUGCUUCACGGUUGGGAUGGUGUUCUUCGGCUUGCAAGCCUCCCCCUUUUCCUCCAAACAUAACAAUGGUCAUUAUGGCCAAACAGUUCUAUUUUUGUUUCAUCAGACCAGAGGACAUUUCUCCAAAAAGUAUGUUAUUUGUCCCCAUGUGCAGUUGCAAACCUUAGUUUUUUUUAUGGCAGUUUUGGAGCAGUAGCUGCUGAGCCGCCUUUCAGGUUAUGUUGAUAUAGGACUCGUUUUACUGUGUGUAUAUAAAUACUCUUGUACUUGUUUCCUCCAGCAUCUUCACAAGGUCCUUUGCUGUUGUUCUGGGAUUGAUUUGCACUUUUCUCACCAAAGUACUUUCAUCUUUAGGAGACAGAACGCUUCUCCUUCCUGAGCGGUAUGUCAGCAGCGUGGUCCCAUGGUGUUUAUACUUGCGUACUAUUGUUUGUCCAGAUGAACAUGGUAACUUCAGGCAUUUGGAAAUUGCCAGACUUGUGGAGGUCUACAAUUUUUUUCUGAGGCCUUGGCUGAUUUAUUUUGAUUUCCCCAUGAUGUCAAGCACAGAGGCACUGAGUUUGAAUGUAGGCCUUGAAAUACAUCCACAGGUACACUUCUAAUUGUCUCAAAUGAUGUUAAUUAGCCUAUCAGAAGCUUCUAAAGCCAUGACAUAAUGUUCGGUUAUUUUCCAAGCUGUUUAAAGGCACAGUCAACUUAGGUUUUGUAAACUUCUGACCCAUUGGAAUUAUGAUACAAUGAAUUAUAAGUGAAAUAAUCUGUCUGUUAACUUCUUGAUGCACCCAUCCCGUUAGCGGGAUCAUUUUCGUCAACAUCCGCUAUAUUGCAGAGUGCCAAAUUCAAAUUAAAUUACUAAAAAUACUUCAUUUUCAUGAAAUCACAAGUGCAAUAUAGCAAAACACAGCUUAGCUUGUUGUUAAUCCACCUGGCAUGUCAUAUUUCAAAAAAGCUUUUCGGCGAAAGCAUACCAAGUGUUUAUGUAAGGACAACUCUCUCAGUAGACAAAAUAUUACAAACAGCUAGUAGCCAAGUAGAUUGGUCACGAAAGUCAGAAAAGCAAUAAAAUGAAUCGCUUACUUUUGAUGAUCUUCAGAUGUUUGCACUCACGAGACUCCCAGUUACACAAUAAAUGUUCCUUUAAGUUCCAUAAAGAUUAUUUUUAUAUCCAAAAUACCUCCAUUUGGUUGGUGCGUCAGAAAUCCACAGGCUCAAGCGGUCAAGUCCGGGCAGACGAAAAUUCCAAAUAGUAUCCGUAAAGUUCGUAGAAACAUGUCAAACGUUUUUUAUAAUCAAUCCUCAGGUUGCUUUUACAAUAUAUAAUCGAUAAUAUUUCAACCGGGACUUUAGCUUCUUCAAUAGGAGAGAGAGAGAAAAUGUCUGCUCCAAGCUGUUGCGCAUGCAAAACGCUGCUGGCACCCAGCCAUCCAUAUGACGUGAUGUGAUCUUUCUCACUCAUUUUUCAAAAUAAAAGCCUGAAACUAUGUCUAAAGACUGUUCACACCAUGGGGAAGCCAUAGGAAAAGGAAUCUGGUUGAUAUCCCUUUAAAUGGAGCGAAGGCAGGCUAUGGAACAGAGAGGUUUCAGGAAAAACAGCACUUCCGGGUUGGAUUUUCCUCAGGUUUUCGCCUGUAAUAUCAGUUCUGUUAUACUCACAGACAAUAUUUUUGACAGUUUUGGAAACUUUAGUGUUUUCUAUACUAAUCUGACAAUUAUAUGCAUAUUCAGAUUCUGGGCCUGAGAAAUAGGCAGUUUCAUUUGGGUACAUUUUUCAUCCAAACAUCAAAAUACUGCCCCCUACACUCAACAGGUUAACAGUUGUUGGAAAAAUAACUUGUGUCAUGCACAAAGUAGAUGUCCUAACCGACUUGCCAAAACUAUAGUUUGUUAACAAGAAAUUUGUGGUGGUUGAAAAAUGAGUUUUAAUGACUCCAACCUCAGUGUAUGUAAACUUCCGACUUCAACUGUAUGUGGGAACUCCUUCAAGACUGUUGGAAAAGCAUUCCAGCUUCACCACCCGGACCUGGGUGAAGCUAGCCGUGCUACCCAGCUCCAACCCUCCACCCCACAGGAUCUACCACUGCUGUGCUGGCCUAGGCCCCAGCUACCAGCCUGUCAUGACCACCAGCAUCACCAUCAGAAACAGUCUGGACAGCAAUCUACAGUCAUUCAAAAACAAAUGCUUCCCUUCCUCCUCAGAGUUAGAGGGCACUAUAGAGCCGGAGACGUUAAGUAGCUCAGAGAAGCUAUUGACUGAACUGGGGGACUAUUGUAAUGGUCUAAGUGGGAACUAUGCUUAGCGCUUUGGGAACUGUCUGACUUUUUAAAAUAAUUUUCAUACUUUUUUCAUCAAACCCACAACCGUGGCGCUGCUAGUGUAAUAUAUAAUUAAAUAUUCACUAUUAGCAAUUACUGAUUUUAUUUUCAAUACAAUUCAACAAAUUAUUGUAUUUCUGUUUUGCUAUAUAUUUACAUGCAUUUCAUUUGUAAAAGCUGUCAAAAGGGUGGAGGGAACGAAAUGUACUCUUGAGGACUCCAUGGUGUUGGGAAGGCUUUCAAUGCAGGCUGCAGAGUUUGCUUCCCACCAGCAGGAUCCGUGGAGGUUACGUGCAAAGUUUUUUAUAGUAAUGGUGAUCAAUGUCAUGCUAAAGUGGAGGGAAAGUCCAUGAAGAUGGACAUUAUUGUGGAUGCGGCAGAGUGGUUCCUGGGGCUAAAAUAUUUCUCAAGAAAGGGAUUACAUGAGGCUCUGUCACAAGCAGUGAUACCCUCUCAGGCCCCAGAGUGUGGGGAGGGAGCUAUUGAAGAAAUGAGGGAGUGUGAUAUAGGUUUUGUUAAGUCAUUUUUUUGUAUGGCAUUUCCUGUUUUACCUUAAGGAGUUUCCUUUUCCCCCCCUGUACAGAUGGUGGCACCAUAAAUAUAGUAUGACGACCGCCAUUAAACUUCACCGACGAAGAAGUUCACAAAAGAUCAUGAACAGUCAAAAUCAUGUUUGUCUUGAAAUUGGAUAAUAUUUGGAUGAAACCAGAUAAAGUUUAUUCAUAAAGUUACUGAUCCCGUCCCCCAUGUCAAACACUUGGAUUCUGAAGGUGGGAUUUUUAAGGGGAUAGGGUAACAUCACACUAACUCCUAUUUUAAUACACUAUUGGUAACAUGAUAUUAUAUUACCUAGCUUAAAUAAGUAACGCCUUGUAAGCAACAUCAGAGAAGGUGUGUUUGCAGAGGGGUCGUAGUUUAUAAAGCUAGAUAGCUACUCUACUGGUGCCAAAAUUGGACUGUAUGGUGUCAGCAAAUGUAAUUAAAAGUUGACACUUCACCUAUGGCAAUGAUACUUGUAUGUUUCCCCUUUCAUUUGUGUCUGGUGUUAACUAGUUAAUUGCUAGCUAGAUCUUCAUCUGUGUCUGGUGUUAACUAGUUAAUGGCUAGCUAGAUCUUCAUCUGUGUCUGGUGUUAACUAGUUAAUGGCUAGCUAGGUCUUCAUCUGUGUCUGGUGUUAACUAGUUAAUGGCUAGCUAGGUCUUCAUCUGUGUCUGGUGUUAACUAGUUAAUGGCUAGCUAGGUCUUCAUCUGUGUCUGGUAUUAGCUAGUUAAUGGCUAGCUAGAUCUUCAGCCAGCAUGGAACAAACGGGUUGUUGAAAACUCUGACGCAGUUGUCAUGUCAACACAUCUGUCAGUGCUGCUGUGAACUGCGUCAAUAAAAGACAUGCCAAAAGGGAGAUGUGUAUAUAUAGAUUUUCCGUAAUUGAUGCAAUUUCAAUGUUUGUUGCUUUGCUUAUUUCCAAUUUGUUUUUAUACGUUUUUACUGAAACACUGUCAGUCAAGGCGAGCUCAUGAUUAUUAGCUCCCCGCUCACUUAGCC